CUACGGGGCGCAGCAGUGGGGAAUAUUGCGCAAUGGGGGAAACCCUGACGCAGCAACGCCGCGUGGGUGAUGAAGGUUUUCGGAUCGUAAAACCCUGUUUUCUGGGACGAUAAUGACGGUACCAGAUGAGGAAGCCACGGCUAACUACGUGCCAGCAGCCGCGGUAAUACGUAGGUGGCAAGCGUUGUCCGGAUUUACUGGGCGUAAAGGGUGCGUAGGCGGAUGCUUAAGUGAGAUGUGAAAUACCUAGGCUUAACUUAGGGGCUGCAUUUCAAACUGGGCAUCUAGAGUACAGGAGAGGGAAACGGAAUUCCUAGUGUAGCGGUGAAAUGCGUAGAGAUUAGGAAGAACACCAGUGGCGAAGGCGGUUUCCUGGACUGUAACUGACGCUGAGGCACGAAAGCGUGGGUAGCAAACAGGAUUAGAUACCCUAGUAGUC
This 439-nucleotide ribosomal RNA is filed under the name uncultured bacterium. RNAcentral describes it as "partial 16S ribosomal RNA". It matches the Rfam family "Bacterial small subunit ribosomal RNA", at positions 339 to 795 of the family's 1533-position model. The record is from RNAcentral.